GCUGAAGAGAAAUAGGCAGAGUGAUUUAUCUUGACACAAAUAUAUUUACUCCAUGGUGCUUACAUUACACUCUUUACAAGGAGUUGAGCACUCUCAUAGAUCACAGCAUGUAAAAUGUGUACUCCUAUUCCCUUGACAAUCACCCAAGCAUAAAUUGUAGGCACAACAAAAUAUAUUCAUAGAGGGUUGAAGAAAAGAAAGGUAAAAACA
This 210-nucleotide unclassified non-coding RNA is filed under the name Hevea brasiliensis (rubber tree). The record is from RNAcentral. Lineage: Eukaryota; Viridiplantae; Streptophyta; Magnoliopsida; Malpighiales; Euphorbiaceae.